AUUGAACGCUGGCGGCAGGCCUAACACAUGCAAGUCGAACGAGUGGCGGACGGGUGAGUAAUGUCUGGGAAACUGCCCGAUGGAGGGGGAUAACUACUGGAAACGGUAGCUAAUACCGCAUACCAUCGGAUGUGCCCAGAUGGGAUGAGCUAGUAGGUGGGGUAACGGCUCACCUCGGCGACGAUCCGGAGCUGGUCUGAGAGGAUGACCAGCCAGAUGGGAACUGAGACACGGUCCAGACUCAGACGGGAGGCAGCAUUGGGGAAUAUUGCACAAUGGGCGCAAGCCUGAUGCAGCCAUGCCGCGUGUAUGAAGAAGGCCUUCGGGUUGUAAAGUACUUUCAGCGAGGAGGCGUUACUCGCAGAAGAAGCACCGGCUAAGUCCGUGCCAGCAGCCGCGGUAAUAC
This 406-nucleotide ribosomal RNA is filed under the name uncultured bacterium. Its description in RNAcentral is "partial 16S ribosomal RNA". It matches the Rfam family "Bacterial small subunit ribosomal RNA", at positions 29 to 526 of the family's 1533-position model. The record is from RNAcentral.